RNAcentral lists this ribosomal RNA (425 nucleotides) under uncultured bacterium. RNAcentral describes it as "partial 16S ribosomal RNA". It matches the Rfam family "Bacterial small subunit ribosomal RNA", at positions 354 to 796 of the family's 1533-position model. The record is from RNAcentral.
GUGAGGAAUUUUCCGCAAUGGGCGAAAGCCUGACGGAGCAAUGCCGCGUGAAGGAUGAAGGCCUAUGGUUGUAAACUUCUUUUCUCAGAAAAGAAUUAUGACGGUAUCUGAGGAAUAAGCAUCGGCUAACUCUGUGCCAGCAGCCGCGGUAAGACAGAGGAUGCAAGCGUUAUCCGGAAUGAUUGGGCGUAAAGCGUCUGUAGGUUGUUUAAAAAGUAUUCUGUCAAAGAUUAGGGCUUAACCCUAGAUAGGCAGAAUAAACUUUUAAGCUAGAGUUUGGUAGAGGCAGAGGGAAUUCCCGGUGGAGCGGUGAAAUGCGUAGAUAUCGGGAGGAACACCAAAGGCGAAGGCACUCUGCUGGGCCAAUACUAACACUGAGAGACGAAAGCGAGGGGAGCAAAUGGGAUUAGAAACCCUUGUAGUCC